RNAcentral lists this ribosomal RNA (427 nucleotides) under uncultured eukaryote. Its description in RNAcentral is "bacterial SSU rRNA". It matches the Rfam family "Eukaryotic small subunit ribosomal RNA", at positions 335 to 764 of the family's 1831-position model. The record is from RNAcentral.
AGAGGCCCGCCGCGGUAACGACGGGUAACGGGGAAUCAGGGUUCGAUUCCGGAGAGGGAGCCCGAGAAACGGCUACCACUUCCAAGGAAGGCAGCAGGCGCGCAACUUACCCUAAUCUCGAUUCGAGGAGGUAGUGACAAGAAAUACCGAUGCGGGACCCUACGGGGUGCCGCGUUCGGAAUGAGUACGAUUCGAACCACCUAACGAGGAACGAUCGGAGGGCAAGUCUGGUGCCAGCAGCCGCGGGAAUUCCAGCUCCAAUAGCGUACGUUAAAGUUGCUGCAGUUAAAAAGCUCGUAGUUGAACGUUCGGGUUCCGCGGGACGGGGCCGCCCCGCGAGGGACGGCGCCGCCCCGGGGCUCGUGAUAUCUUAUCUCGCCGCCCGUCGCGAGGCGGACGGAGGGAUGGAUGAGGUUACCUGGAAAAA